CAAGCUUCCCCUACGUCAUAUCAGCGACCACAGUCUCCCCUCUUAUCCCUUUAGCUCCUCAGUUCGAGUUUCCCGACGCGGCCCCCACCCUUAACCCCUAGCCUCCAGGGAUCCCAGACAUCCUCCCGGCUCCCUAGAGCCCUCCCCUGUUCUCAGCCCCGUUAGACCCUCCCCUCAGAGCAGAACGCGUUUGCGCUCUAUGUCCCUCCGCAGCCCCUCCACCGUCCUCUCUGCCCCCAAAGGUACCUCCCCACCUCCACUUUAGUCUCACCCCUAAGUACCCCGAAGAAAGCCAAUAUUUCCUUCUCUCCGCAGCAUCCCAGAUAUUAACUGUUCUAUCUCAAUGGUUUUCAGAUUUUAUCUUGCCUCUUGGGUACCCUUUGGGACCCUUAUGUCAUCCCCACCAUCAGGGCACCCAGACUUAACCCUAACUGCAAGUCCCAGACUCACUCUGGUCCUUAUUGAUGAGCCAGGUGUCCUUGGAGUCAAGUGGCUCACUGUCACCGAUUUCAUUCCGAGCCACCACUCUGAAGUAGUACUUCCUGCCUGGGAGCAGCCCCGUCACUGUGUACUUGUUGCUGAAGACACGCUCGGCUGCUGUGUACCAGGUGGCUGUGCUUGCAUCCCGCUUCAUGAUGACAUAGUGAGCCUCAUUGUCCUCCUGCACAUCUGGGCUGUGGUUCCAGGUCAGAGUCACUGUGUUGGGGACUUCCUCAAACAACCGUAGGUUUGUGGGGGGCCGAGGGAAAUCUGGAAGAGUUGGAAGAUCUGUCAGCGACCUUGGGGCACCUGAAGUAUUGUGUCCCCACCCCAGCCAUCUGCCAAGUCCGAUGGAAGAUAAGAUGGGACAAGUCUCAGGCAGCUGGUGUCUUGGAGUCGGAAAACUAUUUCUGAAGUCUGCUCUGCCAUUUACUAGCCUCGUGACCUGGGGCCAUACAGACAUCUAGCUGCCCUGCAACACUGUGAAGCAUUUAUUUGUUUUCUCAUCUGUCUCCUUCUACUAGUACGCAAGACCCUGGAAGGCAAGUCCUUGUGUCUUGUUUCUAUAUCCCUAACACCUCCUUUUGAAAUUGCCAUUGCAACAAUUAUAACAGCGAGAAAAUUAUGACAGUGAACAAGAUCUGAUCUAACCAACCCCCAUCUUGCCUUUAACCUCCAAACUGCCCUUAAUCAUUCCUGGUUUCAGACCAAGCUAAUGUUGGGAGAGACAUUUAGUUUAUAGCUUAGAUGGUAACAGUCUUCCCCCAAACUAAAUCACCUUUGCGAAGCUAAUGAAAGGCCACCAGGUUAGGAGGAUGUGAGAAGCCUGAAUUCUGCUAAGGUGUAGACAUAAAAGAUUACCAGCCAUUAUUCCAUAGAUCACAAGAUUUGCAACUCCC
RNAcentral lists this long non-coding RNA (1379 nucleotides) under Pan troglodytes (chimpanzee). Its description in RNAcentral is "long non-coding RNA NONPTRT002564". The record is from RNAcentral. Lineage: Eukaryota; Metazoa; Chordata; Mammalia; Primates; Hominidae.